RNAcentral lists this transfer RNA (90 nucleotides) under Armatimonadota bacterium. RNAcentral's name for it is "Armatimonadetes bacterium (marine sediment metagenome) tRNA-Ser". It matches the Rfam family "tRNA". From Rfam's summary of the family: Transfer RNA (tRNA) molecules are approximately 80 nucleotides in length. Their secondary structure includes four short double-helical elements and three loops (D, anti-codon, and T loops). Lineage: Bacteria; Bacillati; Armatimonadota. The record is from RNAcentral. RNAcentral also lists the same sequence under 1 other name.
GGAGGGGUGUCCGAGUGGUUUAAGGAGGCGGUCUUGAAAACCGCUGGCCGAGCAAUCGGCCCGGGGGUUCGAAUCCCUCCCCCUCCGCCA